Manacus vitellinus (golden-collared manakin) is the source of this 184-nucleotide long non-coding RNA. RefSeq lists it as uncharacterized. NCBI's taxonomy places the organism in Eukaryota, Metazoa, Chordata, Aves, Passeriformes, Pipridae. The record is from RefSeq and is a predicted model, not a curated record. The transcript is spliced from 3 exons.
ACUUGCUGAAUAUCAGUUUUAAAAGAUAAGAGCUGAGUACUUGAUGAAGAAAGGAAGAGCUGUGAGCCAAACCUGUAACUCAGGGCUGGAACCAACACAUUCCACAGCAUCAUGCUGGAAUAUUGGUAGAAGAUUAAUGAAAUAUAAUGGAGCCAAGCAUAGAGUCAGAUCCCUACAAAAGCAG